UCUAAUUAUCGAGUGGCACAGGAAACCUUGCUAAAUAAUCUUAAAUUUAACAAUUCCACAAACAUAUAAAUAGAGCUUAAAUUUAUUUUCACCACAGAGAAUUCAUUCGUAGAAGAAGACGUUCUGUAAUAAGACGCAUCAACCAUGAACCAAAAGAUCGUGUACGCCGUGGCAUUUAUAAUUUAUUGCAUUAUUGCUGAAGUGUACAGUGGUGGUAGUGGUGACAACGAGGACAGUGUUCAACUCAAUGAUGCAGCUUUACCAGUCUCGUGGCUUGAGACUUUACUAGAAAAGAUCGAUUCUCAGGAUGAUACAUCACAUAUUCAAAAAAUUAAGGAAAAACUCGCAGUCCUCUCGGUAGUGGACAAGAUCAAGGAAUGGUUAUCAUCAGCAGGAUAAUUCCCAAAUUUAUCUAAUGGAUAAAUGAUUAAAUUGAAUAAAUGAUUA
Molecule: long non-coding RNA, 447 nt
Organism: Leptidea sinapis
Lineage: Eukaryota; Metazoa; Arthropoda; Insecta; Lepidoptera; Pieridae
Exons: 2
Source: RefSeq, a predicted model, not a curated record